RNAcentral lists this signal recognition particle RNA (97 nucleotides) under Streptomycetaceae bacterium. Its description in RNAcentral is "signal recognition particle sRNA small type". It matches the Rfam family "Bacterial small signal recognition particle RNA". Rfam says of the family: The signal recognition particle (SRP) is a universally conserved ribonucleoprotein involved in the co-translational targeting of proteins to membranes. Archaeal SRP consists of a 7S RNA and homologues of the eukaryotic SRP19 and SRP54 proteins. In most bacteria, the SRP consists of a 4.5S RNA and the Ffh protein (a homologue of the eukaryotic SRP54 protein). The record is from RNAcentral. Lineage: Bacteria; Bacillati; Actinomycetota; Actinomycetes; Kitasatosporales; Streptomycetaceae.
CCGGACCCCCCGUGUGGCGGCAUCCUGCUGAACCCCCCCAGGGCCGGAAGGCAGCAAGGGUAAGUGGGCUCUGCCGGGUGCGCGGGGGGUCUUUUGU